Molecule: ribosomal RNA, 443 nt
Filed under: uncultured bacterium
Lineage: Bacteria
Description: partial 16S ribosomal RNA
Rfam family: Bacterial small subunit ribosomal RNA
Source: RNAcentral
CCUACGGGUGGCAGCAGUGGGGAAUAUUGGGCAAUGGAGGCAACUCUGACCCAGCAACGCCGCGUGAAUGAUGAAGGUCUUCGGAUUGUAAAGCUCUGUGAUGGGGGAUGAACACAAUGACGGUACCCCAAUAGCAAGCCACGGCUACCUACGUGCCAGCAGCCGCGGUAAUACGUAGGUGGCACGCGUUAUCCGGAAUGACUGGGCGUAAGGGGUGCGUAGGUGGUUUAGUAAGUUGGCGGUGUAAUUCCGGGGCUCAACCUGGGCGCUACCGACGAAACUAUUGGACUAGAGUGCAGGAGAGGUAAGUGGAAUUCCUGGUGUAGCAGUGGAAUGCGUAGAUAUUAGGAGGAACAUCAGGGGCGAAGGCGACUUACUGGACUGUAACUGACGCUGAGGCACGAAAGCGUGGGGAGCAAACAGGAUUAGAUACCCGUGUAGUC